GUUAAGAUGGCAGAGCCAGGUAAUUGCAAAAGAUCUAAACCCUUUCAUCAGAGGUUCAACUCCUCUUCUUAAC
This 73-nucleotide transfer RNA is filed under the name Neurergus crocatus (Lake Urmia newt). Its description in RNAcentral is "tRNA-Leu". It matches the Rfam family "tRNA". From Rfam's summary of the family: Transfer RNA (tRNA) molecules are approximately 80 nucleotides in length. Their secondary structure includes four short double-helical elements and three loops (D, anti-codon, and T loops). Further hydrogen bonds mediate the characteristic L-shaped molecular structure. tRNAs have two regions of fundamental functional importance: the anti-codon, which is responsible for specific mRNA codon recognition, and the 3' end, to which the tRNAs corresponding amino acid is attached (by aminoacyl-tRNA synthetases). tRNAs cope with the degeneracy of the genetic code in two manners: having more than one tRNA (with a specific anti-codon) for a particular amino acid; and 'wobble' base-pairing, i.e. permitting non-standard base-pairing at the 3rd anti-codon position. The record is from RNAcentral. Lineage: Eukaryota; Metazoa; Chordata; Amphibia; Caudata; Salamandridae.